Molecule: long non-coding RNA, 2411 nt
Organism: Globicephala melas (long-finned pilot whale)
Lineage: Eukaryota; Metazoa; Chordata; Mammalia; Artiodactyla; Delphinidae
Source: RefSeq, a predicted model, not a curated record
CCGUAGACAGGAGCGGGCACGCGCCCUUUCGCGGUAACGUUCUCGCGUCCCUGGGUCGGCGGCGGCGCGGCGUGCGCGCGCGUGAGCACACACGGAACCGGGAAUCGCCAAAGGACAGGACAGAAGUGCUGAGGAAUUUUCACCCCUGAGAGCAGCCUUCAACCAAUGACAAAUGGAAGCUGAAGGAUAUAUACAUAUACCACCUGUGGCAGGCUGGAAAAUGUCCUCUGAAGACAUCAGGCCCUGAAACUGUUGAAUUUUAUGUUGUAGAGCCAAAGAAGUCUGAAAUCAAGAUGUUGGCGGAGUUGGUUUCUUCUGAAGACCAGAAGUCUGAAAUCAAGAUGUUGGCGGAGUUGGUUUCUUCUGAAGGCUCUGCAAGAGAAUUCACUUCAUGCCCCUCUCCUAAUUGAUGGCACCAUCAGCAAUCCUUUGGGUUCCUUUGGCUUAUAGAUGCCUCACUCCAAUCUCCUCCUCCAUCUUCACAUGGCCUUCUUCCCAGUGUCUCCAUGUGGAGACAUGGAGACACUCCAUGUCUUCUCUUCUUUCUUUUUUUCCCCCACUAUUUGAUUUUUUUUAAUUUAAUUUUUAUUUUAUAUUGGAGUAUAGUUGAUUUACAAUGUUGUAUUAGUUUCAGGUGUACAGCUAAGUGAUUCAGUUAUACAUAUACAUAUAUUCAUUCUUUUUCAGAUUCUUUUCCCAUGUAGGUUAUUACAGAAUAUUAAGUAGAGUUCCUUGCGCUAUACAGUAGGUCCUUGUUGAUUAUCUAUUUUGUAUAUAGUAGUUUGUAUAUGUUAAACCCAAACUCCUAAUUUAUCCCUCCCCAAAAUAUGGAACACUUCGUGAAUUUGCAUGUCAUCCUUGCACAGGGGCCAUGCUGAUCUGCUCUGUAUCAUUCCAGUUUUAGUAUAUGUGCUGCCAAAGUGAGCACUCCUCUUUUUUCUUUUAUAAUGACAUCCAUCACACCUAUUUAUUAGGUCUGUUAGGAGAGGGGGUAUGUCUAAUCCAGGAUUAUCUCAUUUUGGGAGCCUUAUCUUAAUUAUAUCUACAAAGACCCUUUUCUAAAUAAAGUCACAUUCACAGGUACUUGUGGUUAGGACUUGGAUAUAUCUUUUGGGGGGACACAAUUCAACCCACUACACCUGGAUAAGGAGUAAGAAAGAGGGAGGUAUCAAGGAUGACUCUUGGGUUUUAGGUGUGUGAACUAAAGUACUGUCAUUUGGUGAGAUAUGGAAUAUUAUAAUAGGAACAGAUUUGGAGAAGGCAAUUAUGAGUUUAGACUUGGACAUAUUGGGAUCAAGGUGACUUUGAGACUACCAAGCAGAUAUAUUGGGUACACAGUUGGCAUAUAGGACCUGGAGAAACUGAGUGGAGGGUGGUGGUAUGUAUUAAGAUGGAGAAUGCUGGAAGAAAACUAGGAAAGACUCAGUCAUGUUAUGUUUAUGAUGUCUAAAAAUAUCUACAUGUAAGUAUCAAGAAGGCAUUUGGAUUAUAAUGUUGGAGCUGUAGAUAACAAAUUCAAGAGUCCAUUUUAUAGAUGAUCAUCUAAAUCAUGAGAUUGCCGAGGGUAAAGGGGGUUGAAUAAGAAGAAAAGAGGGUUCAGAACUAUUCCAUUAGGAAAUUUCAGCUACAAAGGAAGAAUUCUCUCUUCCCUUGAGGAGACUGAGAAGUAGUGGCCAAAGAGGUAGGAGGAAAACUAAGAGAGUAUGGCAACAAUAGAAUAAUAAAAACUGAGGAAAAGGAGUGUUUCUUUUAAAAGGUUGAAAGCCAGGUGAAAGAGUGUUUCAAAAUGGAGGGAGUGAUUAACAGAAUGAAUGCUGUUGAAAGAUCAAGCAAGAUAGAGACUGACAUUUUUUCCUUAAAUUAGGGACAGGGAAGUCAUUGAUGAGGGUAAAGAAUUGUGGACAGAAGCUAGAAUGGGGGGGAGCAGGUGACAAGUGAGAAAAUAGAGAAAUCUUUAAAAUGGCAUUUUUUGGAAAUAAACUUACAAAAAGCUAUAAACAUAAAAUAGUACAAAGAACACAUACAUCUUUCCCAGAUUUGCCUACUGUUAACAUUUUAGAAAAUUUUAUUGAAGUAUAGUUUACAAUGUUGUGUUAAGCAAAGUGACUUGGUUGUCCAUAUAUUUAUUCUUUUUCACAUUCUUUUCCAUUAUGGUUUAUCACAGGAUAUUGAAUAUGUUCCCUGUGCUAUGCAAUAGGACCUUGUUGUUUAUCCACUGUUAACAUUUUAUCCCAUUUACUUUAUCCCUUGUUCUGUGUGUAUGUGUGUGCAUGCAUAAUUUUUUUUUCUAAAUCAUUUGAGGGUAAAUUACGUAUAUCAUGGCCUUUUAUCCCAAAUACUCUAGUGUACAUUUCCUAAGAGCAUAAAUAUUUUCUUACAGAAUAUAGCAAUUGUUAAUUAUAAAUAUCAAU